Molecule: ribosomal RNA, 450 nt
Filed under: uncultured bacterium
Lineage: Bacteria
Description: partial 16S ribosomal RNA
Rfam family: Bacterial small subunit ribosomal RNA
Source: RNAcentral
GUGAGGAAUAUUGCGCAAUGGAGGCAACUCUGACGCAGCCAUGCCGCGUGUGUGAAGAAGGUCUUCGGAUUGUAAAGCACUUUAAGUUGGGAGGAAGGGCAGUAAGUUAAUACCUUGCUGUUUUGACGUUACCGACAGAAUAAGCACCGGCUAACUUCGUGCCAGCAGCCGCGGUAAUACGAAGGGUGCAAGCGUUAAUCGGAAUUACUGGGCGUAAAGCGCGCGUAGGUGGUUUUGUAAGUUGGAGGUGAAAUCCCCGGGCUCAACCUGGGAACUGUCUCCAAAACUGCAUGACUAGAGUACGGUAGAGGGUAGUGGAAUUUCCUGUGUAGCGGUGAAAUGCGUAGAUAUAGGAAGGAACACCAGUGGCGAAGGCGACUACCUGGACUGAUACUGACACUGAGGUGCGAAAGCGUGGGGAGCAAACAGGAUUAGAAACCCUAGUAGUCC